CUAGAUUUCAGUCUUGGUUCGAUGUGGCACUUACUGAUUUUUGUUUCCAUGAGAUGCCAUAGCAACAAAGGAGGACGCACAGGACAUUCUCCAAACACCCAACAGGGCCGACAUCCCCGUUAUUUGCAAGAGGAAGCGACGCAGGUAUAGAGGGUACAGUGAUGAACAAAACGGAGCGAUUUCUCAACUCAAAUAAUAUUUUUGGAAAAACUGAACAUUUGCUAUCUAACUGAGAGUCUCCUCAUUGAAAACAUCUGAAGUUCUUCAAAGGUUGCUGUCCUUCUCGGCAGAAUAUGUCCAGCAAGCCAGCAAAGUAUGGCAUCAAUAUAUGGGUGGCCUGUGAUGCACAAUCCAGCUACACUUGGAGAUGCAAGUCUACACAUGGAAGCCGACCAGUGGAGGCCCAGAGAAGAACUUGAUGUGACAGAUGGACUGAGGGGGCACAAUGUCACGUAUGACAAUUUCUUCACCACUUAUGAACUCAGCCAGCAGCUCCUGAAGAGGAAGAUCACCAUGGUUGGCAUGGCUGAGCUCCCCCCUGCACUCCUCGCAACAAGGGGGAGAGAGGCCUUCUCAUCAAAGUUUGCCUUCACCUCCACCACCACUCUAGUUUCUACCUCCCAAAGAGGAACAAGAAUGUGGUGCUCCUGAGAACACUGCACAAAACGGCUGAGAUCAGUAAUCGUGAGGACAGGAAGCUAGCCAUCAUUUUGGAUUACAACCACAACAAAGGAGGCGUGGGCAAGCUGAUUGGAACUUACAGCUGCAGGAGGAUGACUGCCCGCUGGCCCCUGGUCAUCUUCCAUAACAUCAUGGAUGUGUACUCAUUCA
Molecule: long non-coding RNA, 831 nt
Organism: Oncorhynchus tshawytscha (Chinook salmon)
Lineage: Eukaryota; Metazoa; Chordata; Actinopteri; Salmoniformes; Salmonidae
Source: Ensembl